Molecule: ribosomal RNA, 328 nt
Filed under: uncultured eukaryote
Lineage: Eukaryota
Description: partial 18S ribosomal RNA
Rfam family: Eukaryotic small subunit ribosomal RNA
Source: RNAcentral
CCCUUAGAUGUCCUGGGCCGCACGCGCGUUACACUGGUGCAUUCAACGAGCUUAUAACCUUGGCCGAGAGGCCUGGGCAAUCUUGUUAACGUGCAUCGUGAUGGGGAUAGAUUAUUGAAAUUAUUAAUCUUGAACGAGGAAUUCCUAGUAAACGCAGAUCAUCAAUCUGCAUUGAUUACGUCCCUGCCCUUUGUACACACCGCCCGUCGCACCUACCGAUUGGAUGGUCCGGUGAAGCCUCGGGAUUGUGGUUCUUGCCGCUUUAUUGUGGCGUGACCGCGAGAACUUGUCUAAACCUUAUCAUCUAGAGGAAGGUGAAGUCGUAACA